CAUGAAGCCGGAAUUGCUAGUAAUGGCAGGUCAGCAUACUGCCGUGAAUACGUUCCCGGGCCUUGUACACACCGCCCGUCACAUCAUGAGAGUCGGGAACACCCAAAGUCCGUAGUCUAACCGCAAGGAGGACGCGGCCUAAGGUGGGUUCGAUAAUUGGGGUGAAGUCGUAACAAGGUAAC
RNAcentral lists this ribosomal RNA (182 nucleotides) under uncultured bacterium. RNAcentral's name for it is "partial 16S ribosomal RNA". It matches the Rfam family "Bacterial small subunit ribosomal RNA", at positions 1319 to 1500 of the family's 1533-position model. The record is from RNAcentral.